This is a long non-coding RNA of Gallus gallus (chicken), 4516 nucleotides long. The record is from Ensembl. NCBI's taxonomy places the organism in Eukaryota, Metazoa, Chordata, Aves, Galliformes, Phasianidae.
UUCUCUCCUGCCUGCAAAUAUGGCAUCAGGAAACAUAAACACCUACAAGAUAAAAGCAAAACCUAAUCCUAGAAAAACAAGCCUGACUAUUUACUCACCCAGAUCUAACUCUGGACUAGACCCAUGCAACUCACACCAGAGCCUACCAGCAGCUACUGCUGGUCAUGCUGCUAUGAGAACUGCCUUCACAGAGAGCCUAAAAAUCAGGCAGGAAAUCAGAUACAAAGAAGAACAUGGGGUAACAAGACAGUGACACUUUCCUGUAAGAAGACCAUAAAUCUUUAUACAAGGGGGCGGACUGGAGAACGUCAGGGGUUUCCAUGUGUGAGUGUUUAAAAUAAAACCUUAUUCAUGCUGGAGUGGGGAAGAAAAGAACUGGCAAGCUGGGAACACAAAAAGAGAAAAGGAGGAACCUUAAAAUAUGAGGAUUGACUGGGUCUUGAGCUCUGAAGUUUUUUUUUCCAGAGUGCCUGUGAAUGAAGAUAUGGUCCCUGCUCAGAAAAUCUGACCCAAAUACUCUUCUCCUAAAUGGCACAACUACUGUGAAAGCCAAUUACUGCACCGUGGGUUCUUCAGAUCCGUAGCUUCUCAAAAUUAAUAUAAGUGCUGGAAAAGAUACCGGAAAAAAGAUCAGUUAUGGAUAAUCUGAGUCUUGAUGUGCUUCCCUGGGAUUUACAGUUAACCUCUGAUCCAAUUAAAGGCUGUGGAGGGACUAUACACAAAAGUAGUGCUGUAGUUCCUUUCCCUUGUAUUUUACAUCCCCAAUGAAUAUUCUGUAUCUACAGGCACCACAAAUGACAAUUCAGAGAGUCAGUUAGAAGUCUCAGCAAAAUUCCUGGUGUCUUGGCACAGGACCUCCUAAUGGGGGUCAUUCAGAGGGAAACCUGCUGAGGGUGACUGGGAAGAAGGAGUCAUUGCCUCUGAGGGAGCCUUCUGUCCACAUCUCAGGACUUGUGACACUGCUUCAGAAAGAAAGCUUAAGUUGUUAGAGCAGAGAAAAUCUUCAUUACGGUACCCCACCCUCAGGCAUGUGAAAGACAAGCAGCUCAGCACCUUCCAGAGUCAGGCCCAUAAAGAUGAGAGGCUCUGGAACUUGAGGGACAGGUAAGUGAGGAUGUGGUGGAAGGUCCACCCAGGAGGUUAUCUAGGGCAAGGAGGCUGACUCCACAUCCCAAGACUGCAUCUGACAAGAAGACAAUCACUGUGGGCAACUCCCUUCUGAGAGGAACGGACAGCCCCAUAUACUGGCCAGACCUUACUCAUAGGGAAGUGUACUGCCUCCCUGGGUGAGGGUCAGGGAUGUUACUAGAAGGCUCCCUAGUAUGGUUCACCCUCUGUUUAUUAUCCCUUAUUGGUACUUCAGGCUGGCAGUGAUGAAGUCACUGAGAGAAGCUUGAGAGCUAUCAAAAGGAACUUCAGGUGGCUGGGGCAGUUUGUGGACAGAGAGGAAGUACAGUUGGUUUUUCUCUGUCCCUUCAGUGGCAGGGAGGAACACUGAGAGGACCAGGAAAUCCCAUCUGAUAAAUACAUGGCUGAGAGGCUGGUGCUGCUGUAGGAAUUUUGGCUUUUUUGAUCAUAGGGCCGUUUACUCAGCACCUGGCUACAAAUGAGGUCCACCUAGGUCAAUGGGGGAAAGGAAUUCUGGCCCAGGAGCUGUUUGGGCUUGUUGACAGGGCUUUAAACUAGGUUUGAAGGGGGAAGGGAGUGAUACCGAGCCUGCCCAUGACAAGGUGUGGGAUAGCAUAUCUAAGUUAAAGGGACAAGAUGCUAGUAGGGGCCCUCAAUCUGUUGCAUUUUAUAAUGAAUAUACUAGGCAUCGAGCUGUCAGGGCUCAUCACCAUGGCUUUAAAAUAGAUUUGAUGGUGGAAGAGGAUGUAGUGCCAAGGAACAAAGAGUCAGGGAACAUUGUCACUUUAAGAAGCAGAGGAGAAAACCUCAGAUUUGUCCCAGGGGUUUUUGGGAGGGCUCCUCCAAGAAGAUAAUGUGGCCAAAAGCCCAACUGAAGUGCCUCUAUGCCAAUGCACGCAGAAUGGGAAAUAAGCAGGAGGAAUUGGAAACUGUGACGUAAUUGGAAAACUAUGAUCUUACUGCUAUCACAGAAACAUGGUGGGAUGACUCACAUCUGAAACACUGAAACACCAUGAUUGAGGGUUAUAGGCUUUUUAGAAGGGAUAGGCAAGAUAGGAGAGGUGGGGAAGUUGCUCUGUAUAUUAAGAAGUAGAUAGACUGCAAAAAGCUGCCGCUGGGAAACAGUUAUGAAGAGGCUGAGAGCUUGUGAGUUAAAAAAAUUAGGGACUGGACCAAUAAAGGGCAUCUGGUGAUGGGGUCUACUCCAAGCUACCUGAUAAAGUGAGGCUGUUGACAAGGCCUUCUUACUUCAGCUGCAAGAGACAUUGCGCUCACAGGCUUUCAUCCUAAUGAAGGAUUUCAACCGCUCAGAUAUCUGCUGGGAAAACAACAGGGCAGCCUGCAAGCAGUCCUGGAAACUCCUGAAGUCCACUGAUGACAAUUUUCUGGUUCACAUAUUGGACAGACACAGCAGAGGUGAAGCACUUCUGGACCUGGUGCUCACCAACGCAGAAGAGAUCAUAAAAGAAGUUACAAUCAGAGGCAGCCUGAGCUGCAGCAACUAUGCCCUGGUUGAGUUUGUGAUCUCAAGGAAUGUGGAAGCAGUGAUGGGUGGCCUGGGAAAAUAUAGGGAUGCUGUCUGGAUGUGCAAGGAUGGAGUCUGGAAAACUGAGGCGCAAAUGGAAUUGGAUUUGGUCAGGGAUGUGAAAAACAACAAGGGAUGCAAACAAGACAAAAUAGAGGGGUCAGCGUUCUGCACAGUGACUCACUCCAGUGCUAUUACAGAAAAGGAUGUUUUAAUGUGCUGCUUCCCAUCCAAACUUCAUGAAAUGGGAAGCCUCCCAGAACUCUUCCAGAAGCCCAGCUGGAACUCCCCACUAUGAAAAACACUUCAACGUGAAUUAGAAAGUUUGCAAGAAAACCAUUACAAAACAGUACCAUCCUUGGCUAUACUAUGCGGUACUUCCCACAUAUUAGGAUCUCCAAAGAAUGUCAUUUUUGCCUUGAAAAAGUAUCCCAAGCUAUUCCCAUCUGCAAGGACAAUCUCUUUACUCCACUCUCAGAAUUUCUGAUGUCCCAGCUAUACCAGAGAUUACACCACGGACAUUGUGACAAGUUAAAAACCUGAAGUACUACGUCAUCUGAUGGUACAUGAGUGCUUCCUCCUGUGCCUGACUUUACUUUGGACCUGGGAACAAGAGCUAAGACAAAGCAUGGAUUUUCUGUCUGAGUGUUUGCAGACGCUUCUAUUACAUGAUCACAUUAUAGCGCUGUUGAAAACUGCUGUCAGCCCGUUAAAUAACACCGGACAGGUACUUAGGAUCUUCCAUUACCACAAUAAUGACAUAUCUCCCAAGUUUUGAAACAUCGGCUCAAGUUGCUCCCAGCUGUUCCACCGCAGCUCGUUUUCCUGCCAAUCACCACAUGGUGGUGGUGUAUCACCAUGAGUUCAGUGUUCGGGUCUGACUCCUGAGAGCUGAAUAGUUGGUUUAAGAAAGCUGGAUAUUUACAGCACAGCACAUUUACAAGGAUGCUUGUAGAGUGAACCCUCUAAAUCCAGUUUACCUUUGAAUUUAUAUGCAUUGCUUAACUGCUUUGCAUAGAGAACUGUCUGGCUUUCCAGUCAGGAAUCUCCCAGAGUAUUUCAAGCAACAUAUUUAUAACUCCAGGUGCAUCCACAUGCAGAAGGAUUUGAAGUCACAUGUGAUUUAUUUGUCCAUCUGCUUCAUCUCAACCUAUUUUGUUUCAUUUUGUUCUUGUUCUUGUUUUGUUUUGCUUUAAUAAUCCUUUGAUACUUAAUCAUCCAUUUCCUAUGGAAAAAAAAAAAAAAAAGUGCUCCCAAGAAUUCCAAUAGAGUCCAGGAAGGCUGAAUGCCUACUCUUCUGAAUUUGCUCCUAAAAGUCUUCUUCUGCAAAGCGUUUCAGCCACCCUUCACCAAAGUCAGGCAAUAAAAAGAAGGUGUACUGCAUUGCCAUUGUGUUUUUCAGCCCAUUCACAUUAUAGACCUUAAAUUAGCUAUUAUAUGUCCUUAGCUGAAUGUGGACAGUGACAGCCCAAUCGAAGACAGAGUGAAGUCAAUGGGAACCUUUCAGUUCUCCCUCAUUUGGCCCUGAAUCAAGUUCAAAGUUGUCUGAUUCAAGAAACAGAUCUUCUGUGUUUUUACAAAGAUGAUUUUUCUCCAGUAUGGAUAUAGGUUACAAAAAAAUUCCAUUAGGGCUUUGUGCACAAAAGAAGCUAUAUGUAACAAUGACAGCAUGUCUCAAACCAACAGAGAGAUUAGCUCUACUUUAAUUGGUUUGAAACAAGGGCACAUCAUCAACAGGGACGGGAGAACUGGCUUGGACUUAAUGAGAAAUGCAUCAUUUCCCACUCACAAACUUACUGCAGACUUACCCUGAACUUUCUAAAUCAAAACUGUUUUAAUAAACUUUUUUGUUGCAUUGCUUCA